AAGAAAGAAAAUGAUCAAAAUAAAUCAAUACAAUACUAAAAGGGGGAUAAUCUCAACUCUCAGCUAUGCCACGUCAUCAAAAAUAAUCCUCCAAUCAUAGCUCUUUAUUUUCGGGUUGGGCUUCGAAUCACAAUUGAAUGGGCUUUGUUUCACUUCCGGGUUAUGGGUCGAAUGUGUUUCGGUUUUGUCGUUGUUUUGGUUUUAUCUUUUAACUAAGCCUAGAUCUACGGAGACGAAGUCGCGAGUCUGCGAGUCUCUUCUCCUCAUCCCCAAUUCACUUCGUCUUCUCACUUUCAAACCGUAGCUUCUGAGUUUUUUCAUCCUAUUCUUCACAAUCAAUUUCGCAAUCAAUUUCUUCUUAGCGAAGGAGAUGAGGAAGAGAAGCGCGAGAAAGAGGAGAGCCGAGGCAGGGCCACCACUGGUGCCCGACCCGAGAGAGGAAAUUGGAGGCGAGGAGGUAGAUGUGGGGACGCUUGGUCUUGGAUUCGUCGGCGCCGGAUUCGCCGGGAUAAGAGAGAUCGGCGUCGGAGUGAGGACGGCGGAAGGAGACAGCGCGAUCGAGCAUCGUCGUCGCGUUGGCCCGUAAACCCAUUAACGAGACCUAAUCAGAGAGCGCACCACCAAACCGUCACGAGGAUCUCUAUCUCCUUCUCUGUUGCGCAGGAGACGAUCUCCAUCUCUAUUCGUCCUUUCCGAACUUGAGAAACGUGAACGGAGAUGGUACCUUUGUCAUUAUCUCAACAUAAUCUCUGGCCGCCGGAAUCUGUAUCUACGAUGUUUCGGGGUUACGCAACCGCCACAUCGAAACACGCCUGCGACCAUCUUCGCCGUCACCUCCGGCUUAGCUUCCAUAUCCGCUCUUCCCUUCAGAUACUGCUGCAAGUCUAUGAGACUGCACGAACGGAGUUCUCAAGAAGAGUCGUUGUAUUCAACAGGGCUAAGUUUCUUCACUCCAGAGAUGAUAUCAGAUCUUCGUUAUCUGUAUGUUUCUUUAGUGGAUGAGAGAGUAGGAUAGGUCCUAGAGGUGAGGAGGGGUCAUCAUCAAACCAGGAGACAUCCAAGAGAAACACAAGCAGUGGACGAAGGUGGACCAAUGUCCUCCUUGCCGUUAACGUUAGAAUGUAUAUUGCACAAGUUGCAUCCAAUGGUAGAGUGCUGACAUGGGGGCCAAGAUAAAACGUUGUUUGUUCUCUUCUCACCGCUUGCUCGAAACAGCUCAACGUUGGCUGCAACUCUUACUUGGGACAAUGAGCUGUCUUGGAUGCUGGAGAAUACUACUGAAGAACUUAAAGAGACUAUGCUUUAGGUUUCUUCUGUUGUUAUGAGGUUACGUAUAGGCUCUAGGAUUAUAUGUUCUUAGCAAGAAUUAUGUUCCCACAAAAGGAUCGCAUUACAUUGCUGUAAAGAAGGCUUUGGAGAUGAUUAAGCAAAAUAUUUCAUCUCUUAGUAAGAGUGAAGGGCAUGAUGCUUAUCACUUCUCUCUGCAACUAACUGGUGCACCAGCUCUUAUCGGGAACACGAUAUGUAUAUAAGUAGUCUCUUGGUGAAUUAUGUUUGAUUCACAUAUCUUGAAGAAAUUUUUGUUAAAGAUAUUUGCAUUUUGUUUGACAUACAUCUUUGUGCAAUCACCUGAGAGGAUUUUCCAAAGGAACCGGUUAGGCGUCCGCAGUGAAGCUUUGACUGCAACUAGGCCUCGAGCUGCUUCAACUGCGUGUGAUAUCGAGAUAUAGCAUGACUUACUAACCAGUCUAUAUGUGAGAAAAAAACUGUGAAGAAGCUUGCAAGAUUGCAGCACCUAUAUUCUCAAUUGGCGGAGAAGCUGAAGAGAGAAGAUGACAAGUUUAACGUCAUCUUGGCUGCUCUGCAUCCAACUCCAGCUGUUUGUGUGCUUCCAGCAGAAGAAGCCAGACUUUUGAUCAAGGAAAUUGGUGAAAUAUUAGCUGUUUGUAACAUAUUUUUAUAAAUGCACUUCUCUACAACCAGAGCCAAACCGGUCAGAUUGUAAGCUUGCCUCAUCUCUGGGAAGAGGAGCUCAUGUCCUAAACUAAAGAAUUUUUCAUUAUGUUGCAGUAUCUGUAUCUGUUUUUUUUUUCCAUCAUAUCCACCAUCAACUAACUUGAGUAUAGAUGUUCCGAAACAAUAA
Brassica napus (rape) is the source of this 2143-nucleotide long non-coding RNA. RefSeq lists it as uncharacterized. The transcript is spliced from 9 exons. The record is from RefSeq and is a predicted model, not a curated record. NCBI's taxonomy places the organism in Eukaryota, Viridiplantae, Streptophyta, Magnoliopsida, Brassicales, Brassicaceae.